CCUACGGGAGGCAGCAGUGAGGAAUAUUGGUCAAUGGACGGAAGUCUGAACCAGCCAUGCCGCGUGCAGGAAGACGGCUCUAUGAGUUGUAAACUGCUUUUGUACAAGGGUAAACCUGAAUACGUGUAUUUAGCUGAAAGUACUGUACGAAUAAGGAUCGGCUAACUCCGUGCCAGCAGCCGCGGUAAUACGGAGGAUCCAAGCGUUAUCCGGAUUUAUUGGGUUUAAAGGGUGCGUAGGCGGAUUGAUAAGUUAGAGGUGAAAUGUCCGAGCUUAACUCGGGAACUGCCUCUAAUACUGUUGAUCUAGAGAGUAGAUGCGGUAGGCGGAAUGUAUGGUGUAGCGGUGAAAUGCUUAGAGAUCAUACAGAACACCGAUUGCGAAGGCAGCUUACCAAUCUAUAUCUGACGUUGAGGCACGAAAGCGUGGGGAGUAAACAGGAUUAGAUACCCCUGUAGUC
Molecule: ribosomal RNA, 460 nt
Filed under: uncultured bacterium
Lineage: Bacteria
Description: partial 16S ribosomal RNA
Rfam family: Bacterial small subunit ribosomal RNA
Source: RNAcentral